UUUCCGGUUGAUCCCGCCGGAGGCCAUUGCUAUCAGGGUUUGACUAAGCCAUGCGAGUCGAGAGGUGUAAGACCUCGGCAUACUGCUCAGUAACACAUGGAUAAUCUGCCCUUGGGUGGAGAAUACUCCCGGGAAACUGGGGUUAAUGCUCCAUAGUGGAUAUAUACUGGAAUGUUAUAUCCUCGAAAGAUCCGUCGCCCAAGGAUGAGUCUAUGUCCGAUUAGGUAGUUGGCGGGGUAACGGCCCACCAAGCCUUUGAUCGGUACGGGUUGUGGGAGCAAGAUCCCGGAGAUGGAUUCUGAGACAUGAAUCCAGGCCCUACGGGGCGCAGCAGGCGCGCAAACUUUACAAUGCGAGCAAUCGUGAUAAGGAAACCCUGAGUGCCUGUCGAUGCAGGCUGUUCAUAUAUCUAAAUCAUAUGUGAAGAAAGGGCAGGGCAAGACCGGUGCCAGCCGCCGCGGUAAUACCGGCUGCUCGAGUGAUGGCCACUAUUACUGGGUUUAAAGCGUCCGUAGCUUGAUUGUUAGGUCUCUUGGGAAAUCUUCACGCUCAACGUGAAGGCGUCCAAGAGAUACCGGCAAUCUUGGAACUGGGAGAGGUAAACCGUACUUCGGGGGUAGGAGUGAAAUCUUGUAAUCCUCGAGGGACGACCUAUGGCGAAAGCAGUUUACCAGAACAGCUUCGACAGUGAGGGACGAAAGCUGGGGGAGCAAACGGGAUUAGAUACCCC
RNAcentral lists this ribosomal RNA (730 nucleotides) under uncultured Methanocorpusculum sp. Its description in RNAcentral is "bacterial SSU rRNA". It matches the Rfam family "Archaeal small subunit ribosomal RNA", at positions 1 to 739 of the family's 1478-position model. Lineage: Archaea; Methanobacteriati; Methanobacteriota; Methanomicrobia; Methanomicrobiales; Methanocorpusculaceae. The record is from RNAcentral.